UACGGAGGGUGCAAGCGUUGCUCGGAAUUAUUGGGCGUAAAGGGUAGGUAGGUGGUCUCAUUUGUCCAGGGUGAAAGCCUUGAGCUUAACUCAAGAAGUGCCCUGGAAACGGUGAGACUGGAGUACUGGAGAGGGUCGUGGAAUUCCCGGUGUAGCGGUGAAAUGCGUAGAGAUCGGGAGGAACACCAGCGGCGAAGGCGGCGACCUGGACAGUAACUGACACUGAACUACGAAAGCGUGGGGAGCAAACAGG
Molecule: ribosomal RNA, 253 nt
Filed under: uncultured bacterium
Lineage: Bacteria
Description: partial 16S ribosomal RNA
Rfam family: Bacterial small subunit ribosomal RNA
Source: RNAcentral